RNAcentral lists this unclassified non-coding RNA (301 nucleotides) under Glomus sp. RNAcentral's name for it is "partial contains 5.8S ribosomal RNA, internal transcribed spacer 2, and large subunit ribosomal RNA". The stretch from base 1 to 71 matches the Rfam family "5.8S ribosomal RNA", at positions 84 to 154 of the family's 154-position model. The record is from RNAcentral. Lineage: Eukaryota; Fungi; Glomeromycota; Glomeromycetes; Glomerales; Glomeraceae.
GUGAAUCAUCGAAUCUUUGAACGCAAAUUGCACUUUCUGGUAUUCCUUAAAGUAUGCCUGUUUGAGGGUCGGUUAAAUAUAAAUCGUUGUUUUUGCUUCCUUUCUUUGUGACGCGUCUGAAUUUAAUCGUCUUACCUUCGGUUAAGUUACGUAAAAUUUUUGCAUGGUUUUCGAACGUGUUUAAAGCGCUUACGUACGUUGCAUGUAUCUAAUGCUGAUUAGGGUCGGUCAUUCCCAUAAUUCUCGCCUAUAAUUGUUCAUUAAAUGACCUCAAAUCAGGUAAGAAUACCCGCUGUACUUA